RNAcentral lists this ribosomal RNA (256 nucleotides) under uncultured bacterium. RNAcentral's name for it is "partial 16S ribosomal RNA". It matches the Rfam family "Bacterial small subunit ribosomal RNA", at positions 99 to 353 of the family's 1533-position model. The record is from RNAcentral.
CGGACGGGUGAGUAACGCGUGGGUAACCUGCCUUGUACUGGGGGACAACAGUUGGAAACGACUGCUAAUACCGCAUAAGCGCACAGCUUCGCAUGAAGCAGUGUGAAAAACUCCGGUGGUACAAGAUGGACCCGCGUCUGAUUAGCUGGUUGGUGAGGUAACGGCCCACCAAGGCGACGAUCAGUAGCCGGACUGAGAGGUUGGCCGGCCACAUUGGGACUGAGACACGGCCCAGACUCCUACGGGAGGCAGCAUG